UCUUGAAACACUCUUUGUCUCCCAAACUCUCCCUGACCCUCCCCGAAACCCUAACACAUUCCCAUCUACUUCUGUUGUGUUUCCAGCGGAAUCCAUGGCAUUCCUGGCCAUGGAUGGCCUGUGCUCACUCUCUCUCACCGUUAAACCUAAGCUACUCAAAGUAUGGAGGCCCACCUUCAAUGGAUCUCUUUAUAUCUAUCUCAGAUCUGUUGAUCUAUGGCCUCUCCGGUCAUUUUUAGGUGUGUUCGAGCAAUAUGAGUCUCUUCGACUCAGGAUCCGACUUUUCUCAAGAGCUUUCUUAUUCUAGGGUUUCUCAGCAGCUCUAAUCCAUUUGAGGUUCAAUACUUACUUAUUUUCUUAUAUCUGUGCCAUGCAUGGUCUUUUCUUGACAUUUUAGAGGUUUUCCCCAAAUUUCCUCUUUAAAAUUUGUCAAUUUAAAUUUUUAGGGUUUCUGAAAAAAGGAUUUCUUCAAACAUUUUGAUUCAUCCUGUUCCUUCUAUAUGUGUGUUUUAUAUUCGUAUUUGUGUUUCUUACUAUGCUUUAGUUUUCUCUCUUGUUUAUUUUCUGAUUAUGCAAGACUUUUCUGUUAUUUGCUGCCACUCUCAUGCUCUACGUCAAUUCGUGUUGUCAACCCUCAUUCUUUACUAUAUGUGUUUAAGUUUGAGCUCUUUGAUAUUGUUUAACCUUACUGAGUUCUGUUUAUGUUCCUGCUAAGCAUGUUUUUACCUACUUUGUUUAAAACUCGUAUCCUCUCUUUCCUCUGAACUUGCUUGUGUAUGUUUGCCUCUCACAAGCCUUUGAAAGGGGCUUCUGAGCCUCUCUCAAUCAUAUUUGCUUGUGACUCUGAAACUUUCAAUGUUAGACUCUUUCUUUUGUUUGAUCUGUACGUUUUAUAUAUGAGGAAAAACUCCUCUUUUAAAAGGUUUUACCAACCAAGUGAUUGAUUCUGAAAUCCCUUUAAUAAAACUAGUGAUUUGUCACUGAUUUCUUUCGAUUGAACCUCCUUUACCCUACUGGCUGUUUACUUGGUCUUUUAAUGUUAAAAUCCCAUGCUUGUGGUGUUUUCCUUAAGUACAUGAUCUUGUUAUUCCUUUUGUAAUUCUGUACCAAUUUUGAAUUAUUUCUAUAUCUAUGUGAUUCUUUCCUUUAUUACCUUAAUUCCAUGUGAUUACAAUUGGAUCCGGGAUCUUCUUGAUUGAUUUUCGAACUGAUGCCCUAUUUUUACUUUAUAAUACAUUGUUAUUUCAACUUUCCUUAAUUAUCCGCUAUGUAUUUUUCUUUUUUAUGCACUAUAAGGUUUCCUUGCCCUAAUCAAUCUUAUUGAACUGAUUUCUUCUCCUUAUUCUACCUUGACUAACCGUUUGAACUAGACUCCUUAAUUAAAGGAUUCUAGUUGACUUAAUUGACACUAAUUGAUUGCUAUUUCCACAUUUGUGCACUCUUUGUCUAUGUACUGCUUGUUUUUAAAACUAUAUAAAGACCCAGUCUUCCCUCUUUACAUACACGGAAAUUCACACGAGCAAAAGCUCUUCUAAUUACAUACUUUCUUGCAAUACUGUUUUGAAUUCAACACUUUGCUUUACUUGAGAUCUUUUGGAACAAAAACUUGGCUCUUUCAAGCCUACUAUUUUCUUACUUAUUUUUCAUUUGAAACUGGUAUGCCUUCUAUUUGAAUUCUCUGCCUCACCCCUAUGUGUUUACUUUACAAUUUCAGCCUUUUAUUUACUUUACUACUCAUGUUUAGUGACUUGUGUUAAUUGAUUCUGUUUCUAUUGUGAAUCCCUACCCAUAUUCCCUUCUAUGUGUUUGAGUUAAGGUCUUGGCUUGGCAGUGUCCUAAUUGCUGCCCAAGCCAUAACUGAUCCACAAUGGAUCCUAACUCUCAAGUUUGGCUAAGAGGUUGGUCAGGGGUGUGCCAGCAUCCCAAUUGCUGGGCAUGACCACCAACCGGCCAUGUCUCUCACUGAUUCUCUCCCCCUGUACACUUACACUUAUUCUUAGACUCUUAAGUUCUGUUCCUCUCUUAUGAGCCUUGAUUUGGGACCUUGAGUUCCCUCUGAACUUAGACAUCUGAGGGCUGGCAUUUUCACACUGCAAUGUGUUCUUAAUUCAACAAUGUUUUGGGGUGUAUGCACUUCCUUGAGCCUUUUGUGACUCUUGGGAACUUUGACAUACCCCAAAUAUGAGAAAGUCUUUUUGAAAUCUGAUCCUGGAAGUUGGUUUAUCUUAUAUUGUUGGACUUUGAGUCUGAAUUAGGCUGUUUGGAUGUAGCUGCAGCUUCUGACGUAAUUUUUACUUUUCUUUCUGAUUCAUUCGGGUCUAUAAUAAUUUGUAAUAACUAUUAGGGAUGGUUUGUGGAAACGUAUGGGGAUGAAUGCAUGCAAAGGGUAGAAAACUUGCCUAUAGGUUAUUUAGAAAUUCUGUACUUUUGCAUCUCCGCAUUUAGAAAACUUGCCUAUAGGUUACUUAUAAUUUAUUUUCUUUUUACAAAACAUGCCUAUAAGUUUUCUGCACUUCUGCAUUUUAGAAAACAUACUUAUAAGUUCUGCAUCUUAGAGAUUAUGCCUAUAGGUUCUGCAUAUAGAAAACUUGCCUAUAAGUUGUUUUAUACUUCUGCAUAUACACGCCAUUAGGCAAACAAUCUUAGGCUUAAUACUAAUCAAUAUCAUUCUAGAUAUCAUGUUUAUAGGACUCUUGCAUUUAUGCAACUGUUUAAAACCAAUGACACUUAAGGUGUGUUUGGUAUAACGGAAAAUAUUUUCCGUGUAAAAUAUUUUCUUGGAAAACAAGUAGUAAUCCUAUUCAUUUUCCGGUUGGUAAGCAAAUUAAGAAAAAUGACUUCUCAAGAGUAUUCAUAAAUAAUUUAGAUAUAAUAAAUAUGAAGCCCUAAACUUUCAAAGUAACAAUCUUCUGGACCCACAAAUUUCAUAAACUUUCGAACCGCUACACAUUCAAAACCGCAAAAUUUCGAACCUGUAAACUUUCAAACACAUAAACCUCUGAACUCAUAAUUUUUGCAACUUGAAUGAAGUAGACUUGUUCAAGCAUCUCUGGUAAGAAAAUGGGUUUGCUGCUAUAUAAAACGAAAAAUAGCUAUACUUGCUAAGACACCUAGCUAGUAUUAACAACAAGCAAGAUUCACUCGCUCAUCAGCAUACGGGCCCCUCUGCUUCCUUGCUAGAUUAGAAGCCAAACAAGCUGUUUUCACUUCACUUAGGCAACAAGAGCUAAUAGUUAGAAGCAACUGCAACAUUGAAUAGCGCUUUCAGCUACAGAAUGCGAGGUUAGCUACACUUGCUUAGUUCAAACAACAAUAGCUACAAUAACUGCUAAAACAGCAGAGCUCUUAGCAACAUUUCCCCCGAACUACUCACUCAAGCAGGAACAAGAACUCCUAGCUUCAAUAGCUACUUUAGCUCCUUAGCCCCUUUUGCGGGGGGAGGGGGUGGAGGGGUAGCAUGGUGGGUAGUAUCGGAAAAAUUGAAAUUUAAAAAAAUAUAUCUUUUUUUGGAGAAGGGUUGGGGUGGGUUAGUGAGGGUGGGGAAGGUUGAGAAGGAGGUUUGGAAAAUAUUUUCCCUUCUCUUGAUGAGGAAAAUAUUUUUCUCCAAUUGGAGGAAAAUGAAUUGACGAGGAAAAUGUUUUCCAAAACCUUUAAGCCACCAAACAUGGGAAAAUUGAAAAACAUUUUCCGAAAAAUGUUUUCCUUCGUACCAAACACACUCCUAGAGAUCAUGUCUAUAUGAGAAAAUCAAUUGGAUCGGUUGCAUUUUGAAUCUAAAAACAAUCAUAAGUCUGCAGAUCUUUAAAACUAGAUAGCAAACUUUUGCCUUAAAAUCAAUAUGCUCUAGUAGAUGCCUAUAGGCCUCACUUAGGAAAACUAUUAGGUGAUUAAUUAAGUGUGUCACUCUUUGAUAACUACAUCCAGACAAGGCUAAUUCGGACUUCUCAUCUUAGAAAUAUGUGAUGAAUCAGCCUAUCCUACGCUUUAAUUUAAUUCAGACUAAACCAAUAUUUGAAGUCAUGUUAUAUCUGCUCUUUUUAUUGAGGAGGCCUGCAUGAACCUUAACUACUAUUUGCUCCCCUGUUAACUGCUAUUUGUUUUUUGCUUGUCGCCUAGAUUUUUAUCCUUUUGAAACUCUGAAAAAGCCCCAACUCCCUCCCCAUUAGGAUUAGUAGUCUCGAUGCCUCUGGGAUUGAUAGGAUCGGAAAGGGUAAUAGAAUACAAUAAGUAACGAUACUAUUCCGCGCUUUAAUACCUUAACGUGGUGGAAAAGGGUAGAUAUGGAUAUGAUGACCGCUGCGCUAAUACCACGUGUAGCCCCACUUUUGAGGAGUGAUUACCGGGUAUAUGCAUUGAUGUGAUUCAUAUUAACCAUAAACCUAGGACCCCCUCCAUUUUACUUGCUUUUAUCUGAUUUCUUUAGAAUUGUUUGAUUCUUUCAUAAAUUUCUGACCUCUUUACCUUCCCUUAAAGUUUCAAUUUAUUUUCAAUAUUAUAUGCAAACCCCUUCUAUUUGAGCCCUUAGUUGCUUACUUGAUUAUGUGAAGUCACAAUUAUAAUAAGGUCGGGAACCACGCUAGUGGAUCUUGAGGGGUGCCUAACACCUUCCCCUCGAGAUAAUAUCUAGCCCUUACCCAAACUCUGGUUCUUCAAACUCAAACCCUUCUUAGUGUCCUAAUGCACUUAAUCAUUAGGUGGAGACUCUCCAAUACCGAAACUCAAUUCCCAAAAGGGGACGAGUUGUCCUUCCAAAUGUCAUAAACCCGAUUUCUUUAGAAAAAAGGGGCAUCAACAUCAUGGUGACUCUGUUGGGGAUUUCUUAGGCUUUUACCAUUUUAUGUUAUUAGUGACUUUACAGCUUCUUUAUGCCUUUAUUUAAUGUCUUUAUCUCUUUUCUACUACGAAACUGACUUGGCUUUUUGUUUCUUUUUUUUAAUGCUUUCUUUUAUCACUUUCCUUCAAUACUAUUGUAAUUAUGAGAAAUUAUUGUAAUCAUUACUUUAUGAACGUGCAAAUACAUGACAACCUGUUUCAUUCUUGUAAUUGCAUCUUCAACAUCAUAUUCCACUAGUGCCAAAUAAAAUACCAUAGCAACACUUAUAAUGAGUGGUUGCGACCUUUCGAUAUUAUCACCCCCUAUAUUUGGCAAAGGUGUAUUUGCGGUAAAACCAUUCGAUCAGAGGUCCAGUCGACGGUUCCAUGUCUUUCCCUCUUGAGUUGUACGCUCAAGGGUUUCGGACUAAUACUCUAUAGAAACCUUACUCUGUCCAACUGUGCAUGCAUCAUGGUCAUACCUAGCCGAGUCAAUUAUGUUGUCCGCAUAAUGAAUCUUUAAAAUAGCCUUUUCCAAUGUCCGCUGGGUUUCCUUGGAACCCAAACGGAUAUUAUCAUAUUUCGUGCAUUUAUUUGGAGAACUAAAUUCUAUUUAUGCUAAUUAUUGAUUUAAAUAGUCGAGUCUGGAAGUGGUAAGGGUCUAACACUUUGUUUUGCAGAAAAUGAGGCACGAAAUCCCCAGAUUCGGCAUGGUAAUCAACAUUCACCCUAGGUUGCUAAGUUGGUGGGAAGACCUUCACUCCAGUGAUCAGACCCUCGUAUGCAAAUAUUUGGGAAAUUUGCCUUCUCUUUUGGAAAUCUAACCCGACAACAAAAUAAUAGAGGCUUCAACUCUAUUUUGGGAUGGUGAUUGAUCGG
This 5691-nucleotide long non-coding RNA is filed under the name Nicotiana benthamiana. RNAcentral describes it as "long non-coding RNA (NBEN_LNC027315)". The record is from RNAcentral. Lineage: Eukaryota; Viridiplantae; Streptophyta; Magnoliopsida; Solanales; Solanaceae.